Molecule: small nucleolar RNA, 139 nt
Organism: Drosophila bipectinata
Lineage: Eukaryota; Metazoa; Arthropoda; Insecta; Diptera; Drosophilidae
Source: RefSeq, a predicted model, not a curated record
AUGUGGGCUUUGUCGAAGACCGCUUUACUUUCUAUAAGUAGAUUGGUUCAAAACGAAGCCCAAAGCAAUUUUUGUUACGACGGUCACUGAUUCUAGCAUCUUCCAGCACUUUCAGUAACUUUUACGUGCAAUUACAGAU